RNAcentral lists this ribosomal RNA (1318 nucleotides) under human gut metagenome. RNAcentral describes it as "bacterial LSU rRNA". It matches the Rfam family "Bacterial large subunit ribosomal RNA", at positions 706 to 2003 of the family's 2925-position model. The record is from RNAcentral.
GGUAUAGACCCGAAACCCGGUGAUCUAGCCAUGGGCAGGUUGAAGGUUGGGUAACACUAACUGGAGGACCGAACCGACUAAUGUUGAAAAAUUAGCGGAUGACCUGUGGCUGGGGGUGAAAGGCCAAUCAAACCGGGAGAUAGCUGGUUCUCCCCGAAAGCUAUUUAGGUAGCGCCUCGUGAACUCAUCUUCGGGGGUAGAGCACUGUUUCGGCUAGGGGGCCAUCCCGGCUUACCAACCCGAUGCAAACUACGAAUACCGAAGAAUGUUAUCACGGGAGACACACGGCGGGUGCUAACGUCCGUCGUGAAGAGGGAAACAACCCAGACCGCCAGCUAAGGUCCCAAAGUCAUGGUUAAGUGGGAAACGAUGUGGGAAGGCACAGACAGCCAGGAUGUUGGCUUAGAAGCAGCCAUCAUUUAAAGAAAGCGUAAUAGCUCACUGGUCGAGUCGGCCUGCGCGGAAGAUGUAACGGGGCUAAACCAUGCACCGAAGCUGCGGCAGCGACACUAUGUGUUGUUGGGUAGGGGAGCGUUCUGUAAGCCGUUGAAGGUGUGCUGUGAGGCAUGCUGGAGGUAUCAGAAGUGCGAAUGCUGACAUAAGUAACGAUAAAGCGGGUGAAAAGCCCGCUCGCCGGAAGACCAAGGGUUCCUGUCCAACGUUAAUCGGGGCAGGGUGAGUCGACCCCUAAGGCGAGGCCGAAAGGCGUAGUCGAUGGGAAACAGGUUAAUAUUCCUGUACUUGGUGUUACUGCGAAGGGGGGACGGAGAAGGCUAUGUCAGCCGGGCGACGGUUGUCCCGGUUUAAGCAUGUAGGCGGAGGUUCCAGGUAAAUCCGGUACCUUAUUAACGCUGAGGUGUGAUGACGAGGCACUACGGUGCUGAAGUGAUAAAUGCCCUGCUUCCAGGAAAAGCCUCUAAGCAUCAGGUAACACGAAAUCGUACCCCAAACCGACACAGGUGGUCAGGUAGAGAAUACCAAGGCGCUUGAGAGAACUCGGGUGAAGGAACUAGGCAAAAUGGUGCCGUAACUUCGGGAGAAGGCACGCUGAUGUGUAGGUGAAGUCCCUGCGGACGGAGCUGAAAUCAGUCGAAGAUACCAGCUGGCUGCAACUGUUUAUUAAAAACACAGCACUGUGCAAACACGAAAGUGGACGUAUACGGUGUGACGCCUGCCCGGUGCCGGAAGGUUAAUUGAUGGGGUUAGCUGUAAGGCGAAGCUCUUGAUCGAAGCCCCGGUAAACGGCGGCCGUAACUAUAACGGUCCUAAGGUAGCGAAAUUCCUUGUCGGGUAAGUUCCGACCUGCACGAAUGGCGUA